This 305-nucleotide ribosomal RNA is filed under the name Cytobacillus firmus. RNAcentral's name for it is "bacterial SSU rRNA". It matches the Rfam family "Bacterial small subunit ribosomal RNA", at positions 449 to 754 of the family's 1533-position model. Lineage: Bacteria; Bacillati; Bacillota; Bacilli; Caryophanales; Bacillaceae. The record is from RNAcentral.
CGGAGUAACUGCCGGUACCUUGACGGUACCUGACCAGAAAGCCACGGCUAACUACGUGCCAGCAGCCGCGGUAAUACGUAGGUGGCAAGCGUUGUCCGGAAUUAUUGGGCGUAAAGCGCGCGCAGGCGGUUCCUUAAGUCUGAUGUGAAAGCCCCCGGCUCAACCGGGGAGGGUCAUUGGAAACUGGGGAACUUGAGUGCAGAAGAGAAGAGUGGAAUUCCACGUGUAGCGGUGAAAUGCGUAGAGAUGUGGAGGAACACCAGUGGCGAAGGCGACUCUUUGGUCUGUAACUGACGCUGAGGCGC